UACAGAGGUCUCAAGCGUUGUUCGGAUUCAUUGGGCGUAAAGGGUGCGUAGGCGGUCGGGUAAGUUUGAUGUGAAAUCUCCGGGCUUAACCCGGAAACUGCAUUGAAUACUAUUCGGCUUGAGGUCUGGAGGGGGGACUGGAAUUCUCGGUGUAGCAGUGAAAUGCGUAGAUAUCGAGAGGAACACCAGUGGCGAAGGCGAGUCCCUGGACAGGUCCUGACGCUGAGGCACGAAAGCUAGGGGAGCAAACAGG
Molecule: ribosomal RNA, 253 nt
Filed under: uncultured bacterium
Lineage: Bacteria
Description: partial 16S ribosomal RNA
Rfam family: Bacterial small subunit ribosomal RNA
Source: RNAcentral